AUGGAUCAAAACCUUAAAAUCAUAUUCUGUAAUGUCCGUGGGCUUAAUUGCCGUGCCAAGCAUACCGCAAUCCGGACCGUCAUCUCUGCUGCCUCUCCUUCCAUCGUGUGCCUCUCUGAGACCAAGCUGGAUUUGGUCACGCCCGAGGUCAUCCUUGAGACACUCGGCUCCCUCUUCACCGGCUUCUACUGGCUGUCGGCCGCAGGAACGAGGGGUGGCAUUCUCCUCGCGUGGCGACUCGACCUCGUCAACCUCUCUAGCCCCUCAAUUGGCACCUACCAUGUCUCCCCAGUCGUCUCCACCCCAUCAGACGAGCACCCCUGGUGGAUCACCAACAUGUAUGGCCCUCAGGCCGACGAUGAUAAGAUGGCUUUCCUUACUGAGCUCCAUGAGCUCCACGCCACCAUGGCCGGUCCCUGGCUACUUGGGGGAGACUUCAUGUGA
This 444-nucleotide ribosomal RNA is filed under the name Triticum aestivum (bread wheat). RNAcentral's name for it is "partial small subunit ribosomal RNA". The record is from RNAcentral. Lineage: Eukaryota; Viridiplantae; Streptophyta; Magnoliopsida; Poales; Poaceae.